AGAGAGAGACAUGCGCGCAUAUCAAUAAGCGGAGGAAAAGAAACUAACAAGGAUUCCCCUAGUAACGGCGAGUGAAGCGGGAAGAGCUCAAAUUUGAAAUCUUAAAGGGUUUCCCUUUACGAAUUGUAGUUUAAAGAAGUGUUUUCUGUUGAGGUUUUGGUAAAAGUUCUUUGGAAUAGGACAUCAUAGAGGGUGAGAAUCCCGUAUUUGACCUUUACUUUCAACUUUGUGAUACACUUUCAAAGAGUCGGAUUGUUUGGGAAUGCAGUCCAAAAUGGGUGGUAAAUUUCAUCUAAAGCUAAAUAUUGGCGAGAGACCGAUAGCGAACAAGUACCGUGAGGGAAAGAUGAAAAGAACUUUGAAAAGAGAGUUAAACAGUACGUGAAAUUGUCAAAAGGGAAGCGUUUGACACCAGUGUUGUUUUUCUGAAAAUCAAUUAAAGAACUGUUUAUGCUAAGUUGUUUAGACUUUAUCAGCUAACUGUUUAGUUUUGAGCUUUUCCUUUAAUGCACUUUUCAGUUAACAAGUCAACAUCAAUUUCUUUUGCUGUAAAAAAGCUUGAGGAAGGUGGCUUGAGAUUCGUCUUAAGUGUUUAUAGCCUCUUGCCUAUGCAGUCGGAGAGAUUGAGGUCUGCAGCGUAGAUCCUUCGGGGCUAAAUGCAUUUGUGCUAAGUUAUAGCAUUUUAUAGACAACUUGUUGACUAUGAUUUGUCUUGUAGCUUACUCGCUUAUGUUAUUUUACCUACGCUUAGGAUGUUGACGCAUGAGAUAUACGC
RNAcentral lists this ribosomal RNA (775 nucleotides) under uncultured Neocallimastigales. RNAcentral describes it as "partial large subunit ribosomal RNA". It matches the Rfam family "Eukaryotic large subunit ribosomal RNA", at positions 23 to 646 of the family's 3401-position model. The record is from RNAcentral. Lineage: Eukaryota; Fungi; Neocallimastigomycota; Neocallimastigomycetes; Neocallimastigales.